AGUAACACGUGGUUAACCUGCCCUAAGGUGGAGAAUACUCCCGGGAAACUGGGGCUAAUGCUCCAUAGUGGAUAUGUCCUGGAAUGGUAUAUCCUCGAAAGAUCCGUCGCCUUAGGAUGGGACUGCGUCCGAUUAGGUUGUUGGCGGGGUAACGGCCCACCAAGCCAUUGAUCGGUACGGGUUGUGGGAGCAAGAUCCCGGAGAUGGAUUCUGAGACAUGAAUCCAGGCCCUACGGGGCGCAGCAGGCGCGCAAACUUUACAAUGCGAGCAAUCGUGAUAAGGAAACCCUGAGUGCCUGUCGAUGCAGGCUGUUCAUAUAUCUAAAUCAUAUGUGAAGAAAGGGCAGGGCAAGACCGGUGCCAGCCGCCGCGGUAAUACCGGCUGCUCGAGUGAUGGCCACUAUUACUGGGUUUAAAGCGUCCGUAGCUUGACUGUUAGGUCUCUUGGGAAAUCUUCACGCUCAACGUGAAGGCGUCUAAGAGAUACCGGCAGUCUUGGAACUGGGAGAGGUAAACCGUACUUCGGGGGUAGGAGUGAAAUCUUGUAAUCCUCGAGGGACGACCUAUGGCGAAGGCAGUUUACCAGAACAGCUUCGACAGUGAGGGACGAAAGCUGGGGGAGCAAACGGGAUUAGAUACCCCGGUAGUCCCAGCCGUAACAAUGUGCGUUAGGUGUGUCGGUAACCACGUGUUACUGAUGCGCCG
Molecule: ribosomal RNA, 705 nt
Filed under: uncultured Methanocorpusculum sp.
Lineage: Archaea; Methanobacteriati; Methanobacteriota; Methanomicrobia; Methanomicrobiales; Methanocorpusculaceae
Description: bacterial SSU rRNA
Rfam family: Archaeal small subunit ribosomal RNA
Source: RNAcentral